RNAcentral lists this ribosomal RNA (253 nucleotides) under uncultured bacterium. Its description in RNAcentral is "partial 16S ribosomal RNA". It matches the Rfam family "Bacterial small subunit ribosomal RNA", at positions 524 to 776 of the family's 1533-position model. The record is from RNAcentral.
UACGAAGGGGGCAAGCGUUGUUCGGAAUUAUUGGGCGUAAAGGGAGCGUAGGCGGUUCGGCAAGUCUUUAGUGAAAUCUCUGGGCUCAACUCAGAGUCUGCUGGAGAAACUGCCGGGCUGGAGUAUGGGAGAGGUGAGUGGAAUUCCCGGUGUAGCAGUGAAAUGCGUAGAUAUCGUGAGGAACACCAGAGGCGAAGGCGACUUCCUGGACAAUUGCUGACGCUCAGGCACGAAAGCGUGGGGAGCAAACAGG